Molecule: ribosomal RNA, 368 nt
Filed under: uncultured organism
Description: bacterial SSU rRNA
Rfam family: Bacterial small subunit ribosomal RNA
Source: RNAcentral
CGUAUGGGGCGAGCGUUGUUCGGAAUUAUUGGGCGUAAAGGGUGUGCAGGCGGUUAUGUAAGUCUGACGUGAAAGACUCGAGCUUAACCCGAGGAACGCGUUGGAAACUGUGUGACUAGAGUUCUGGAGGGGUAGCUGGAAUUCCAGGUGUAGGGGUGAAAUCUGUAGAUAUCUGGAAGAACAUCAGUGGCGAAGGCGAGCUACUAGCCAAGGACUGACGCUGAGACACGAAAGCGUGGGGAGCAAACAGGAUUAGAUACCCUGGUAGUCCACGCUGUAAACUAUGUACACUAGGUGUUGGGGAGUAGUCUUCAGCGCCGUAGCUAACGCGCUAAGUGUACCGCCUGGGGAGUAUGCUCGCAAGAGUG